GAACGCUGGCGGCGUGCCUAAUACAUGCAAGUCGAGCGAACAGACGAGGAGCUUGCUCCUCUGACGUUAGCGGCGGACGGGUGAGUAACACGUGGAUAACCUACCUAUAAGACUGGGAUAACUUCGGGAAACCGGAGCUAAUACCGGAUAAUAUAUUGAACCGCAUGGUUCAAUAGUGAAAGACGGUUUUGCUGUCACUUAUAGAUGGAUCCGCGCCGCAUUAGCUAGUUGGUAAGGUAACGGCUUACCAAGGCAACGAUGCGUAGCCGACCUGAGAGGGUGAUCGGCCACACUGGAACUGAGACACGGUCCAGACUCCUACGGGAGGCAGCAGUAGGGAAUCUUCCGCAAUGGGCGAAAGCCUGACGGAGCAACGCCGCGUGAGUGAUGAAGGUCUUCGGAUCGUAAAACUCUGUUAUUAGGGAAGAACAAAUGUGUAAGUAACUAUGCACGUCUGGACGGUACCUAAUCAGAAAGCCACGGCGAACUACGU
RNAcentral lists this ribosomal RNA (493 nucleotides) under uncultured bacterium. Its description in RNAcentral is "partial 16S ribosomal RNA". It matches the Rfam family "Bacterial small subunit ribosomal RNA", at positions 31 to 506 of the family's 1533-position model. The record is from RNAcentral.